RNAcentral lists this ribosomal RNA (253 nucleotides) under uncultured bacterium. RNAcentral describes it as "partial 16S ribosomal RNA". It matches the Rfam family "Bacterial small subunit ribosomal RNA", at positions 524 to 776 of the family's 1533-position model. The record is from RNAcentral.
UACGAAGGGUGCAAGCGUUACUCGGAAUUACAGGGCGUAAAGCGCGUGUAGGCGGCGCGGAAAGUCGGGUGUGAAAGCCCUGGGCUCAACCCAGGAAGUGCAUUCGAAACUUCCGAGCUGGAGUCCCGGAGAGGAUGGCGGAAUUCUCGGUGUAGAGGUGAAAUUCGUAGAUAUCGAGAGGAACACCGGUGGCGAAGGCGGCCAUCUGGACGGUGACUGACGCUGAGACGCGAAAGCGUGGGGAGCAAACAGG